GGGCGAUUAGCUCAGUUGGGAGAGCACCUGCCUUACAAGCAGGGGGUCGUAGGUUCAAGCCCUACAUCGCCCA
Molecule: transfer RNA, 73 nt
Filed under: Actinomycetes bacterium
Lineage: Bacteria; Bacillati; Actinomycetota; Actinomycetes
Description: Actinobacteria bacterium tRNA-Val
Rfam family: tRNA
About the family: Transfer RNA (tRNA) molecules are approximately 80 nucleotides in length. Their secondary structure includes four short double-helical elements and three loops (D, anti-codon, and T loops).
Source: RNAcentral